Molecule: ribosomal RNA, 250 nt
Filed under: uncultured bacterium
Lineage: Bacteria
Description: partial 16S ribosomal RNA
Rfam family: Bacterial small subunit ribosomal RNA
Source: RNAcentral
UACGAAGGGAGCGAGCGUUGUUCGGAAUACUGGGCGUAAAGCGUGCGUAGGCGGUUUAGUAAGUUAGAAGUGAAAGCCCUGGGCUCAACCUAGGAAUAGCUUUUAAAACUACUAAACUAGAAUCUCGGAGGGGAUGGUGGAAUUUCCAGUGUAGAGGUGAAAUUCGUAGAUAUUGGAAGGAACACCAGUGGCGAAGGCGACCAUCUGGACGAGUAUUGACGCUGAGGCACGAAAGCGUGGGGAGCAAACA